ACAAGAAUAGCUCAGUUGGUAGAGCAUGAGAUUCUUAAUCUCAGGGUUGUGAGUUCGAGCCCCAAGUUGGGUGAAAUAUUCUUGCA
Molecule: non-coding RNA, 86 nt
Organism: Podarcis lilfordi (Lilford's wall lizard)
Lineage: Eukaryota; Metazoa; Chordata; Lepidosauria; Squamata; Lacertidae
Source: the annotation of a GenBank genome assembly